AUGGCUCAGAUUGAACGCUGGCGGCAGGCCUAACACAUGCAAGUCGAACGGUAACAGGAAAAAGCUUGCUUUUUCGCUGACGAGUGGCGCACGGGUGCGUAACGCGUAUACAAUCUGCCUCUUACUGGGGAAUAGCCUUUGGAAACGAAGAAUAAUACCCCAUGGUAUCUAGAUUUCGCAUGAAAUUUGGAUUAAAGCUUCGGCGGUAAGAGAUGAGUAUGCGUUCUAUUAGCUAGAUGGUGUGGUAACGGCACACCAUGGCAACGAUAGAUAGGGGCCCUGAGAGGGGGAUCCCCCACACUGGUACUGAGACACGGACCAGACUCCUACGGGAGGCAGCAGUGAGGAAUAUUGGACAAUGGGCGAAAGCCUGAUCCAGCCAUGCCGCGUGCAGGAAGACUGCCCUAUGGGUUGUAAACUGCUUUUAUACGGGAAGAAACCCAUCUACGUGUAGGUGGCUGACGGUACCGUAAGAAUAAGCAUCGGCUAACUCCGUGCCAGCAGCCGCGGUAAUACGGAGGAUGCAAGCGUUAUCCGGAAUCAUUGGGUUUAAAGGGUCCGUAGGUGGAUUGGUAAGUCAGAGGUGAAAGCCUGCAGCUCAACUGUAGAACUGCCUUUGAUACUGCUAGUCUUGAAUUAUUGUGAAGUGGUUAGAAUAUGUAGUGUAGCGGUGAAAUGCAUAGAUAUUACAUAGAAUACCGAUUGCGAAGGCAGAUCACUAACAAUAUAUUGACACUGAUGGACGAAAGCGUGGGGAGCGAACAGGAUUAGAUACCCUGGUAGUCCACGCCGUAAACGAUGUCUACUAGCCGUUGGGACUCUUGAAGUCUUAGUGGCGCAGCUAACGCACUAAGUAGACCGCCUGGGGAGUACGGCCGCAAGGUUAAAACUCAAAUGAAUUGACGGGGGCCCGCACAAGCGGUGGAGCAUGUGGUUUAAUUCGACGCAACGCGAAGAACCUUACCUGGCCUUGACAUGCAGAGAACUUUCCAGAGAUGGAUUGGUGCCUUCGGGAACUCUGACACAGGUGCUGCAUGGCCGUCGUCAGCUCGUGUCGUGAGAUGUUGGGUUAAGUCCCGUAACGAGCGCAACCCCUAUCCCUAGUUGCUAGCAGUUCGGCUGAGAACUCUAGGGAGACUGCCGGUGACAAACCGGAGGAAGGUGGGGAUGACGUCAGGUCAUCAUGGCCCUUACGGCCAGGGCUACACACGUGCUACAAUGGUGCGCACAGAGGGCUGCAAACCCGCGAGGGGGAGCCAAUCUCACAAAACGCAUCGUAGUCCGGAUCGCAGUCUGCAACUCGACUGCGUGAAGUCGGAAUCGCUAGUAAUCGUGAAUCAGAAUGUCACGGUGAAUACGUUCCCGGGCCUUGUACACACCGCCCGUCAAGCCAUGGAAGCUGGGAGUGCCUGAAGUCCGUCACCGCA
RNAcentral lists this ribosomal RNA (1427 nucleotides) under Bathycoccus prasinos. Its description in RNAcentral is "partial Bacterial small subunit ribosomal RNA". It matches the Rfam family "Bacterial small subunit ribosomal RNA". Lineage: Eukaryota; Viridiplantae; Chlorophyta; Mamiellophyceae; Mamiellales; Bathycoccaceae. The record is from RNAcentral.